RNAcentral lists this ribosomal RNA (513 nucleotides) under uncultured bacterium. RNAcentral describes it as "bacterial SSU rRNA". It matches the Rfam family "Bacterial small subunit ribosomal RNA", at positions 29 to 533 of the family's 1533-position model. The record is from RNAcentral.
AUUGAACGCUGGCGGAAUGCUUUACACAUGCAAGUCGGGCGGCAGCGCGGGGGCAACCCUGGCGGCGAGCGGCGAACGGGUGAGUAACACAUCGGAACGUACCCUAUCGUGGGGGAUAGCUCGGCGAAAGCCGGAUUAAUACCGCAUACGACCUGAGGGUGAAAGCGGGGGAUUGGUAACGACCUCGCGCGACUGGAGCGGCCGAUGGCGGAUUAGCUAGUUGGUGGGGUAAAGGCCUACCAAGGCGACGAUCCGUAGCGGGUCUGAGAGGACGGCCCGCCACACUGGGACUGAGACACGGCCCAGACUCCUACGGGAGGCAGCAGUGGGGAAUUUUGGACAAUGGGCGCAAGCCUGAUCCAGCCAUUCCGCGUGAGUGAAGAAGGCCUUCGGGUUGUAAAGCUCUUUCGCAAGGGAAGAAAACGUUAAUCCUCUAACAUAGGAUGAGGUUGACGGUACCUUGAUAAGAAGCACCGGCUAACUACGUGCCAGCAGCCGCGGUAAGAGUACUCU